Non-coding RNA from Trichonephila clavata, 86 nucleotides. The record is from the annotation of a GenBank genome assembly. NCBI's taxonomy places the organism in Eukaryota, Metazoa, Arthropoda, Arachnida, Araneae, Nephilidae.
AGCCAGUUCUCGUUCGAUCACCUAAGUUAAGCAUCGAUGGGAGGGGUCAGUACCAGGGAGAGUGACCACCUGGAAGUAAAGUGUCG